CAGUCGCCACGGUAAUACAGAGGGUGCAAGCGUUAAUCGGAAUUACUGGGCGUAAAGCGCGCGUAGGUGGUUUGUUAAGUUGGAUGUGAAAUCCCCGGGCUCAACCUGGGAACUGCAUCCAAAACUGGCAAGCUAGAGUAUGGUAGAGGGUGGUGGAAUUUCCUGUGUAGCGGUGAAAUGCGUAGAUAUAGGAAGGAACACCAGUGGCGAAGGCGACCACCUGGACUGAUACUGACACUGAGGUGCGAAAGCGUGGGGAGCAAACAGGAUUAGAGACCCCAGUAGUCCCUGUCUCUUAUAC
Molecule: ribosomal RNA, 301 nt
Filed under: uncultured bacterium
Lineage: Bacteria
Description: partial 16S ribosomal RNA
Rfam family: Bacterial small subunit ribosomal RNA
Source: RNAcentral